This 490-nucleotide ribosomal RNA is filed under the name uncultured bacterium. Its description in RNAcentral is "partial 16S ribosomal RNA". It matches the Rfam family "Bacterial small subunit ribosomal RNA", at positions 30 to 507 of the family's 1533-position model. The record is from RNAcentral.
AUUGAACGCUGGCGGCAUGCUUUACACAUGCAAGUCGGACGGCAGCGGGGUAGUGCUUGCACUACUGCCGGCGAGUGGCGAACGGGUGAGUAAUAUAUUGGAACGUACCGAGUAAUGGGGGAUAACCAAUCGAAAGAUUGGCUAAUACCGCAUACGCUCUGAGGAGGAAAGCAGGGGACCUUCGGGCCUUGCGUUAUUCGAGCGGCCAAUAUCUGAUUAGCUAGUUGGUGGGGUAAGGGCCUACCAAGGCGACGAUCAGUAGCGGGUCUGAGAGGAUGAUCGGCCACACUGGGACUGAGACACGGCCCAGACUCCUACGGGAGGCAGCAGUGGGGAAUUUUGGACAAUGGGCGCAAGCCUGAUCCAGCCAUGCCGCGUGUCUGAAGAAGGCCUUCGGGUUGUAAAGGACUUUUGUUAGGGAAGAAAAAGGAGCGGUUAAUACCCGUUUCUGCUGACGGUACCUAAAGAAUAAGCACCGGCUAACUACGUG